UACGUAGGGGGCAAGCGUUGUCCGGAUUUAUUGGGCGUAAAGAGCGUGUAGGCGGCCAGGUAGGUCGGUUGUGAAAACUGGAGGCUCAACCUUCAGACGUCGACCGAAACCAUCUGGCUAGAGUCCGGAAGAGGAGAGUGGAAUUCCUGGUGUAGCGGUGGAAUGCGCAGAUAUCAGGAAGAACACCUGUGGCGAAAGCGGCGCACUGGACCAUAACUGACGCUGAGGCGCGAAAGCUAGGGGAGCAAACAGG
RNAcentral lists this ribosomal RNA (253 nucleotides) under uncultured bacterium. RNAcentral's name for it is "partial 16S ribosomal RNA". It matches the Rfam family "Bacterial small subunit ribosomal RNA", at positions 524 to 776 of the family's 1533-position model. The record is from RNAcentral.